GACGAACGCUGGCUGCGUGCUUAACACAUGCAAGUCGAACGGAACGGCCCUGCUUUUGUGGGGUGCUCGAGUGGCGAACGGGUGAGUAACACGUGAGUAACCUGCCCUUGACUUAGGUAUAACUUCAGGAAACUGGGGCUACUACCGUAUAGGAGCUCCUGCUGCAUGGUGAGGGUUUGAAAGUUUCGGCGGUUGGUGAUGGACUCGCGGCUUUUCAGCUUGUUGGUGGGGUACUGGCUUACCAUGGCUUUGACGGGUAGCCGGCCCGAGUGGGUGACCGGCCACACUGGGACUGAGGUACGGCCCAGACUCCUAUGGGAGGCAGCAGGGGGGAAUAUUGCACAAUGGGCGGAAGCCUGAUGCAGCAACGCCGCGUGCGGGAUGACGGCCUUUGGGUCGUAAACCGCUUUCGCCUGUGACGAAGAGUGAGUGACGGUAAUGGGUAAAGAAGAACCGGCUAACUACGUG
RNAcentral lists this ribosomal RNA (468 nucleotides) under uncultured bacterium. RNAcentral describes it as "partial 16S ribosomal RNA". It matches the Rfam family "Bacterial small subunit ribosomal RNA", at positions 28 to 507 of the family's 1533-position model. The record is from RNAcentral.